This 350-nucleotide ribosomal RNA is filed under the name uncultured bacterium. RNAcentral describes it as "bacterial SSU rRNA". It matches the Rfam family "Bacterial small subunit ribosomal RNA", at positions 355 to 722 of the family's 1533-position model. The record is from RNAcentral.
UAGGGAAUAUUGGACAAUGGGCGCAAGCCUGAUCCAGCAAUGCCGCGUGAGUGAUGAAGGCCUUAGGGUUGUAAAGCUCUUUUACCAGAGAUGAUAAUGACAGUAUCUGGGGAAUAAGCCCCGGCUAACUCCGUGCCAGCAGCCGCGGUAAUACGGAGGGGGCUAGCGUUGUUCGGAAUUACUGGGCGUAAAGCGCACGUAGGCGGCGAUUUAAGUCAGAGGUGAAAGCCCGGGGCUCAACCCCGGAACUGCCUUUGAGACUGGAUUGCUUGAAUCCGGGAGAGGUGAGUGGAAUUCCGAGUGUAGAGGUGAAAUUCGUAGAUAUUCGGAAGAACACCAGUGGCGAAGGC